This 267-nucleotide ribosomal RNA is filed under the name uncultured bacterium. Its description in RNAcentral is "partial 16S ribosomal RNA". It matches the Rfam family "Bacterial small subunit ribosomal RNA", at positions 89 to 353 of the family's 1533-position model. The record is from RNAcentral.
UGGCGACCGUCGCACGGGUGAGUAACACGUAUCCAACCUGCCGAUGACUCGGGGAUAGCCUUUCGAAAGAAAGAUUAAUACCCGAUGGCAUAGUUCUUCCGCAUGGUGGAACUAUUAAAGAAUUUCGGUUCAUCGAUGGGGAUGCGUUCCAUUAGGUUGUUGGCGGGGUAACGGCCCACCAAGCCUUCGAUGGAUAGGGGUUCUGAGAGGAAGGUCCCCCACAUUGGAACUGAGACACGGUCCAAACUCCUACGGGAGGCAGCAUUG